AGUGAACGCUGGCGGUAGGCCUAACACAUGCAAGUCGAACGGCAGCACAGUAAGAGCUUGCUCUUACGGGUGGCGAGUGGCGGACGGGUGAGGAAUACAUCGAAAUCUACUUUUUCGGGGGGGAUAACGUAGGGAAACUUACGCUAAUACCGCAUACAACCUACGGGUGAAGGCAGGGGAUCUUCGGACUUUGCGCGAUUGAUUAAGCCGAUGUCGGAUUAGCUAGUUGGCGGGGUAAAGGCCCACCAAGGCGACGAUCCGUAGCUGGUCUGAGAGGAUGAUCAGCCACACUGGAACUGAGACACGGUCCAGACUCCUACGGGAGGCAGCAGUGGGGAAUAUUGGACAAUGGGCGCAAGCCUGAUCCAGCCAUACCGCGUGGGUGAAGAAGGCCUUCGGGUUGUAAAGCCCUUUUGUUGGGAAAGAAAAGCAGCAGGUUAAUACCCCGCUGUUCUGACGGUACCCAAAGAAUAAGCACCGGCUAACUUCGUG
Molecule: ribosomal RNA, 492 nt
Filed under: uncultured bacterium
Lineage: Bacteria
Description: partial 16S ribosomal RNA
Rfam family: Bacterial small subunit ribosomal RNA
Source: RNAcentral